CCUACGGGUGGCAGCAGUGAGGAAUAUUGGUCAAUGGACGCAAGCCUGAACCAGCCAAGUAGCGUGCAGGAUGACUGCCCUACGGGUUGUAAACUUCUUUUAUAAAAGAAUAAAGUGCAGCACGUGUACCUUUUUGUAUGUACUUUAUGAAUAAGGAUCGGCUAACUCCGUGCCAGCAGCCGCGGUAAUACGGAGGAUGCGAGCGUUAUCCGGAUUUAUUGGGUUUAAAGGGUGCGUAGGCGGAGCGUUAAGUCAGUGGUCAAAUUGAGGGGCUCAACCCCUUCCCGCCAUUGAAACUGGCGCUCUUGAGUGGAAGAGAAGUAGGCGGAAUGUGUGGUGUAGCGGUGAAAUGCAUAGAGAUCACGCAGAACCCCGAUUGCGAAGGCAGCAUGCCGGAUUCCGACUGACGAUGAAGCACGAAAGCGUGGGGAUCGAACAGGAUUAGAUACCCUUGUAGUC
Molecule: ribosomal RNA, 459 nt
Filed under: uncultured bacterium
Lineage: Bacteria
Description: partial 16S ribosomal RNA
Rfam family: Bacterial small subunit ribosomal RNA
Source: RNAcentral